AACGAACGCUGGCGGCGUGCCUAACACAUGCAAGUCGAGCGCGAAAGUCCCUUCGGGGGCGAGUAGAGCGGCGGACGGGUGAGUAAUACAUGGAUAAUCUCCCUUCGAGCCUGGGAUAACCCUGCGAAAGCGGGGCUAAUACCGGAUAAGACCACGUCACUUAUGUGAUGCGGGAAAAGGUGGCUUUAUUUUCGAAUGAGGCUAUCACUUGAAGAUGAGUCCAUGGCCUAUCAGCUUGUUGGUGAGGUAAAAGCUCACCAAGGCUAUGACGGGUAGCUGGUCUAAGAGGACGACCAGCCACACUGGGACUGAGACACGGCCCAGACUCCUACGGGAGGCAGCAGUGGGGAAUAUUGGGCAAUGGGCGAAAGCCUGACCCAGCGACGCCGUGUGGGCGAUGAAGGCCUUCGGGUUGUAAAGCCCUGUCAGGUGGGAAGAAGGGCUCAGAGACGAAUAAUCCCUGAGUUUUGACGGUACCACCGGAGGAAGCACCGGCUAACUCCGUGCCAGCAGCCGCGGUAAUACGGAGGGUGCGAGCGUUGUUCGGAAUUACUGGGCGUAAAGGGCGCGUAGGUGGUUGUGUAAGUCAGAUGUGAAAUCUCUCGGCUCAACUGAGAAACUGCAUCUGAUACUGCAUGACUAGAGUGCAGCAGAGGGAAACGGAAUUCCUGGUGUAGAGGUGAAAUUCGUAGAUAUCAGGAGGAACACCGGUGGCGAAGGCGGUUUCCUGGGCUGACACUGACACUGAGGCGCGAAAGCGUGGGUAGCAAGCAGGAUUAGAUACCCUGGUAGUCCACGCCGUAAACGGUGAAUACUGGGUGUGGGAGGUGUAAUGCCUUCUGUGCCGAAGCUAACGCGUUAAGUAUUCCGCCUGGGGAGUACGGCCGCAAGGUUG
RNAcentral lists this ribosomal RNA (895 nucleotides) under uncultured bacterium. RNAcentral describes it as "bacterial SSU rRNA". It matches the Rfam family "Bacterial small subunit ribosomal RNA", at positions 28 to 896 of the family's 1533-position model. The record is from RNAcentral.